UACAGAGGUCCCGAGCGUUGUUCGGAUUCACUGGGCGUAAAGGGUGCGCAGGUGGGUUGGCAAGUUUGAUGUGAAAGCCCCGGGCUUAACCCGGGAAUGGCAUUGAAUACUGCUGAUCUGGAGGAUUGGAGGGGGGACUGGAAUUCUUGGUGUAGCAGUGAAAUGCGUAGAUAUCAAGAGGAACACCAGUGGCGAAGGCGAGUCUCUAGACAACUCCUGACACUGAGGCACGAAAGCUAGGGGAGCAAACAGG
RNAcentral lists this ribosomal RNA (253 nucleotides) under uncultured bacterium. Its description in RNAcentral is "partial 16S ribosomal RNA". It matches the Rfam family "Bacterial small subunit ribosomal RNA", at positions 524 to 776 of the family's 1533-position model. The record is from RNAcentral.